Molecule: ribosomal RNA, 253 nt
Filed under: uncultured bacterium
Lineage: Bacteria
Description: partial 16S ribosomal RNA
Rfam family: Bacterial small subunit ribosomal RNA
Source: RNAcentral
UACGUAGGUGGCAAGCGUUGUCCGGAAUUAUUGGGCAUAAAGCGCGCGCAGGCGGUCCUUUAAGUCUGAUGUGAAAGCCCACGGCUCAACCGUGGAGGGUCAUUGGAAACUGGGGGACUUGAGUACAGAAGAGAAGAGUGGAAUUCCACGUGUAGCGGUGAAAUGCGUAGAGAUGUGGAGGAACACCAGUGGCGAAGGCGACUCUUUGGUCUGUAACUGACGCUGAGGCGCGAAAGCGUGGGGAGCAAACAGG